AUGCUUUACACAUGCAAGUCGAACGGCAGCACGGGGGCAACCCUGGUGGCGAGUGGCGAACGGGUGAGUAAUAUAUCGGAACGUACCCAGGAGUGGGGGAUAACGUAGCGAAAGUUACGCUAAUACCGCAUACGACCCAAGGGUGAAAGUGGGGGAUCGCAAGACCUCAUGCUCAUGGAGCGGCCGAUAUCUGAUUAGCUAGUUGGUGGGGUAAAGGCCUACCAAGGCAACGAUCAGUAGCUGGUCUGAGAGGACGACCAGCCACACUGGAACUGAGACACGGUCCAGACUCCUACGGGAGGCAGCAGUGGGGAAUUUUGGACAAUGGGGGCAACCCUGAUCCAGCAAUGCCGCGUGAGUGAAGAAGGCCUUCGGGUUGUAAAGCUCUUUUGUCAGGGAAGAAAAGGUCGCAGCUAAUAUCUGUGGCUCAUGACGGUACCUGAAGAAUAAGCACCGGCU
Molecule: ribosomal RNA, 459 nt
Filed under: uncultured bacterium
Lineage: Bacteria
Description: bacterial SSU rRNA
Rfam family: Bacterial small subunit ribosomal RNA
Source: RNAcentral